This 504-nucleotide ribosomal RNA is filed under the name uncultured bacterium. Its description in RNAcentral is "partial 16S ribosomal RNA". It matches the Rfam family "Bacterial small subunit ribosomal RNA", at positions 28 to 523 of the family's 1533-position model. The record is from RNAcentral.
GAUGAACGCUAGCGGCAGGCUUAAUACAUGCAAGUCGAGGGGCAGCAGCUUUAUAGCAAUAUAGAGGCUGGCGACCGGCAAACGGGUGCGGAACACGUACACAACCUUCCUUUAAGAGGGGGAUAGCCCAUAGAAAUGUGGAUUAAUACCCCGUAACAUAUCGGUGUGGCAUCACACUGUUAUUAUAGUUUCGACGCUUGAAGAUGGGUGUGCGGCUGAUUAGGUAGUUGGCGGGGUAAAGGCCCACCAAGCCUUCGAUCAGUAGCUGAUGUGAGAGCACGAUCAGCCAAACGGGCACUGAGACACGGGCCCGACUCCUACGGGAGGCAGCAGUAAGGAAUAUUGGUCAAUGGACGCAAGUCUGAACCAGCCAUGCCGCGUGAAGGAUGAAGGUCCUCUGGAUUGUAAACUUCUUUUAUAGGGGGCGAAAAAAGGGAAUUCUUUCUCACUUGACAGUACCCUAUGAAUAAGCACCGGCUAACUCCGUGCCAGCAGCCGCAGUAA